Long non-coding RNA from Corvus hawaiiensis (hawaiian crow), 5925 nucleotides. RefSeq lists it as uncharacterized. Lineage: Eukaryota; Metazoa; Chordata; Aves; Passeriformes; Corvidae. The transcript has 2 exons. The record is from RefSeq and is a predicted model, not a curated record.
GUGAUGCUGCAUCAUGAAUACAUUCAGGGAAUGGAAAGAGAACCUGCACCUCACCUGACCAAGCAGAAAUGCCCACUACAACUUGAGCAUCAAUAUCUCGCAACAGAAAUUUCAUCAUCAGUUCAUACAGCAGAAGGAAUGGAAGGAAUAUUUUCUGUGUUGGUUUGCCUUCCCUGCUUUUGAUAAUUCAUUUUGAUUCCUGUGAAGUGUUGCUCUCUCUAACAGUUUUGUGUGGCCAUUGUGGGCCGUAUUUAGGACUUUGUUUCUGUGAUGUUGAGUGGCUUCAUUUUGAGGAUUGUAAAACUGGAAGUGUUGAGUUUCAGAUUACAGUUGAAGCAUAAGGCAUAAAAUCAGCUUGUAGGCACAGCAGAACAGAGUGUCUAGGAAAGAUGUCUUGCAGGGUUAAGAUAAUGCAUUUCAGUGCUGUUGUCAGCAGAGAGAGGCUGCAAUUAAUGUGAAAAUGUUAGAUGAGGAAGGAAUGCUGGUGGGUUUGGAAAGGGUAAUAAGUAUGGGUUUCUUCUAACAGGAAAACGCAGAAGAAAGAAUGCUGCAAGGCUCUGGAUGGAGGUAUCUGGGGAGGUAGUGGAGGAGGUAAAGGAGCAUUCUUGGACAGUGUCAUGGAACUGGAUAAGAGCAGGAGGAUGGUUCUGGUAUGAGCAAAAGCAGAGUAGUGCAAACCCUGCCCUCUGGUUUCUGUACCUUUUUAUGUAUGGGGCUAUUUCACUUAAGCAGAACAUGUCGUUGCUCUAGAUGGCCCUCACAGCUAAGAUUGCCAGUAAGUUGGCUUUCCUUCUUCACUGAGAUAGACAUGAUCCCUGAAUGCCAUCUUGGUCCACAGCUAUUUUGAUACUUGAUUCCUCUUCCCUGUCCAUGCCUCUUGCCUUUUCCCUUCUGUCUCUGCAUGUGGAGGUGUUAUAUGUCCCCACAAUUCUGCUACACCUCCCCAUGUAUCAGCCCUCCCCAUGACCUUAAGACUGCUUAGUUCCUCCCAUGUACUUUGCUUUCCAGGAUGAUAAGCUGUGGUCAGAAAAAUAGCCACUGCUCAUUCUAUCCACUGCCACCCUCUCCUCCCCCUCUCCUCUCCGUCUGGUACUAGGGAAGAGCUUGUGCCCUGUUCAGCUGGCUAGUUCUGGCACAAAGCUGGACUGGUAUAGGAGCGGGAGGGCUGUGCCGAUGUCGGAUGUAUGUCUCUGUGCGGGUGAGGAGCGUCCGAGGCAGGCACCCUUUCCUCCUUUUAUCAGACUGCGCUCAUUUAUUAUACCAUCUGUUUUCCCAGUGCUGGAGAUGAUGCUGGGGAUAUGUGACUUGGGGCACUCAGGCAGAAACUGGCCUGCACAAGGCCGGCCAUGUGUUUGCCUCCUAGCAAUGCAGCGGUCAGCAGCAAAUUCUUUGCUGCUGCCUCCUCUCAGUAUGGGAGAGAGCAAGUGUGGGCCUGGGUGUGUAGGAGGCACAAAGAGAUGAAAUGUGGCAGGGGGAGAAGGGGAGAGAGAGACACUGGGGUACAUGUGUAUCAGCUGGAGAGAACUGUGGGGAGGAGGGACAGACAGAUGGGCAGAGUUGGGGAGAAGGAAGAAGAAUGGAUUGAAGAGAAGGAAAAACAUAAGGAACUGUGCAGGGAGAGACAAAGAAACAGACUGGCUGGGGGGCAGCAAGAGAAAGGCUGUGAAAGAAGGAAAGACAGGCAGAUCUGGCAGGGUUGUGGUGUGGAAAUCAAUGGAUUGACUGUGGGAGAGAGAUGUGUGCCAGCCAGGUACUACACUCAUAGGGCUCACUGCCACUGCACGGAGAGACCCAGUGGACCCAGGAAUGUAAAUGCCACUAUGCUAGUGCAGACUGUUUCCUGCCUGUCGAACUGCAAUGUGUACUCGAGCGUUUGCAACCUGUGGACUGCCUAUUUCAAGCGUACCUGCUUAACUAUUAGAAGCUGUUUAAGAUGGCAGCUCAGGUAUUUAUUUAUCCCCCUUUCCCUUCCCUCUUGCCCUUUUCCUCACAGUGUACUCACAAUAGAAAAGGAGACAUUAAAAAGUAGUACUCAGAUUCACAGGCACCUUCUUAUUUCUUCUGCCUUGUUUCAUAGACACCACUUUGCUUUGCUGCCUAACUUGACCUCCCCCUCUUCCCUUUGACCAUUUCUUUUCUCUUCUUUCCUCUGCUAUUUUAUCUACUACUUUCUCUCUUCCUUCAAUUUUCUAUAAUUUGAAGUUUUUUAUUGUCCCUAUAACUCCAUUCCCCUUUCUCUAUUGUGUUCUAGACUAGGAGCCUUGUUUCUUUCCUUCUGCUCCUUUUCUCUCUCCCCAAUUCCUCCAUCUCCUUCUGUCUGUGCCUGUCUGCCUGCUUUCUCUCACUCACUGUCUGUCUCUCUUGAACUGGGUUGUUGAAUUCUGUUGGCAUCAGAGUGGGACAAACUGUAAAACCAAGGUUCCCGGAGGGCCAGGUUGUGAUCAUUUUAUUUUUACAAUGUCCUUGGAUGUGUAAAGGUGUUUGUUUGAGGGGGAGGAGCAGUGCAUGUGCUCCAUGUGGGAGAAGAGAGAGGAGUGCAGGCCAGAACAAAUGAAGCUUAUAACCAAUAUAGGUCAGUUGCAGAGAAGAGUCCCAAUGGUCUGUGAAAUAGAGAAGUGUUUUGUCAUUUCAGACUGGCUAGUGGAAAGAUGGCAAAUGAAUAGUUUUAUCUAACAGACGCAGGAAAAGCGUCCUGUCAGAGAAUGCAGUAGUGGUGAGCAUGGGAGGAGGACCAGCUCUGCACAGGGGAUUGCUCAUCUCCCAGCCACCCCCAUAACCCAGGGAAAGAACAGCCUUUCUCCUGUUCCGAGCUGCCUACUUCUGAGCAUGUUCCCAUGUCUCUGCUAUGGACUGCAGAGCAUGGCUGAGAGAUGCUUCCCUGUGUCCUCUGCCAGACUUGCUCGCCGUGUCAAAGAGGACAACAACCAAGCAAACAGAUUAGAGAAGCACAAAGGAGAACCAUAACCUCACACCCUUGGAGGAUGGGCUGGAGUGCUUGGUGAGCCUCUGCUGGGGUAAGUGCUGCCAAAGAGACCCCCACAGUGGCAGAAAGGCAUCAUCAAGGCCCUGAGCUUAGGCUGGUGGAGCUGUAUGAGCCAAGCGCACUGCUGGGAAUUGUUUUGCUCUUCAGUAGGCUACUCACUUCCCAUGAUUUGCCACCAUAUGAGUAAACCCUGCUUCCUGAUCAUUCCCAGAAAUUUUCAAAAGUGGUCAGUAGCUGCAGUGAACGACUGUGUCAGAUACUGAUGAGCCCAGCAUGUGGCCUUGGGAAUUUCAAUUUAAUUUCUAUUAAGAAAUUCGUUGGUUUAUGACAUCAAAGCUAUUCUGUUAAAAUGACAUUAAAACAUCAAAACAGAAAUCCAGAUUUUUAGAGGUGUUUGGAGCCCCUGCAUCUCUCUAAAUUCGAUGUGAGAUGCUGACUGCUUAGCACAACUGAAAAUCAGGACAGUUCCUCAGUGUCUAAACAUGGAGUUAGAAGCCUAAAUAGAUGUAUGUGUUUUGCUUACUUUUUUAAAGGAGGCCUUUAUUCCCGAGGCAGAGAAUACCACCUCUCGACAAUUUCUAUCCAUGGAAUACUCUUCUGUGCAUCACCAUAAUGCUCCAGUCUAACAUCUGACUGGCUUAAUCUGAUGUGUUUAACCUACUUCCUCUAUAGGAAUUCACUUGGGGGAUCCUAAACCAUUACAAUGGUAAUGUGAAAAUAAAUCCUAGGAAUUAAUACAAUACAAGAGCUCUGUGGUCGCAAUAUAUCAGCUGACUUGCUCUGAAACAGUGUCUCAGGUCCUCAUGGGAUGCCUCCCUGACUAUGUGGGACUACAGAAGUAAAUCUUUCUCACAUUGAAAUUGGUAGCCUGUUACUGGCAUCAGUUGGAUACUGUGAUUCUGAAUUCUCUUAGAAUGCCAGCUCACUGAACUCCUGAAUAGGUGCUGUGAUAUGUGCUUCUCUUGAUUUGUCCCUCCGAAAAUUCAGAGGGAUGAAAUAGCUUAUCCUAGACACUAACCAUUUCUCUUGCUUUUCUUGGGAUGUUCCUUCAAGUAUCCUUUUAACCCUGAUAUACCACUGAGUGUCAGAGAUGUUUAAUGUCCAAUAUUCCUGCCCCAAUACCCUAAGCUAUCUGACAGAAGAAAAGCUCAGGGUAUCCUAAAGAUGAAAGUCUGCAUAGCUGUCUUGCAGAAGGGUUACCUGUGUCAGUACCACCAGACCUAGGAGAGCAAGUCUGUCCGUGGAGGAAGCCCCAGUGAUACCUCUGUGGCUGCAGAGGUCUGGAUGGCAAAAGCUCAUAUUAGGGCUGGAUUGUGGCUUUAAAUGAUGACACUGAAUAGAUGCGGCUGCACAAGAUCCUCUUGUCUGUCCCCAUCUGUGCCCUUUACACUGAAAGGAAGACUGAUAUCAGAGAAUAUCGAUCAGUGUCAACACAAACCGUCUUCACUGUAGGCCUCACCUUUACCUCAGCAUUUAUCAUUGCACUGAUGCUUCCAAGAAGAUUCUGAAAGCCUUUAGAAAAAAGUAAGGCCUCUCUUUCUUGACUUACUCUUUGCAAUUCUGUGAUUGCUAUGUUUACGUGGAAACAGGCUUUUUUUUUUCUUUAAGAACCAAACCACAGCCCAUGUACAUUUCCUCAGUGGAGUUUCAUAAAACUGUUUGUCAAGAAAUGAUGAGUGCUUUUAAUUUGGAGUUUCUGAAGUUGACCUGGAGAGACCACCCCUUCCGUGAGAGACAAAUCAGGAGUGAGAAUCUAAUCUAGUUACAGUCAGUAGAUAAAAGGACAAAGGCUUUACUGGGGGCAACAUAGUUACUGGUGCCCAUAUUCCAGGCACAAUGGGCAGUGAGACCCAUUGCCUCUCUGGUCCAUUCUGGAGACCUUUCCCUGUGCCUUAGACCCUAGAACAGAUUCUGAUUACAAAACCUGUGCCAAAAACUUUUCAUCAACUUUUUGUUGCCUGGAAUAUGCUUUCAGGGUUGGAUGUAUCUAGAUGUCUGUGCCUGGCUUUGGAUAUGAAUGGGAACUCAAAAGAGGAUUUCCAUGAAGGAUCUGGGGAUACAGCAGAGGAGAAACAAUGGGUGUAUGCUUGGGAAUAAGUGGGUCUAAAGCUGGAUUUCUAUGUGCAUGGUUAACAUAGGGGUAAGGGAGUGUAGAGGCAUGUAUUUUACUUAUAUGCAAGAUAGUCCAACAUGAAGGUAGCCUGGGAUUAUAGAUUAAGUGUAGAAAAAUAGAAAAAUGUGUGUUCUGGAGAGGAUAAGUAUGAGGCACAGCAUCUGAGUGGGGAAGAGUGUCUUUAGUUUAGCAUACUUAUGUAAAUACAUAGGGAUAGACGUGCUGGUGGGAGGGGGAAUGUUCUCACAACUUAUUUUCUCUGCUAGUCGGAUUCGGUAAGUUUGUGUGUAUAUAUAUAUACACAUAUGCAUAUAUCCUCACUGAGGGCGCUUUACCAAAUAUUAGAAUUCCAGCUAGAAUGACUUGUUAGCAGCCUACCCUCUGUUAGAGCUAAUGGGUUGCAGGUAUUGAUUUUUUUUCUAUUUCUAUUGAUUAGGAGGCUGCUGUACAUACAAACCUUAGCAUAGCAUGGAAAGAGAAAGGGAGGCAAAACAGUUCACAUCCCAGCAACUCAUCAUGGCGGAAAAUUCAUCCUGGGAGUCUCAGUCUUCUCCAACUAUCUCUUCCAAAUAGAGAAGGAAGUCGUUCCUUUUUUGCAGAAAUCAACCACCAGGGCUCAUGAGAGGACACUUUUUGUUUCCCAACCAUCUUCAAAUGUAUCAUUCAAUGGAAGAAAAGGUUGUGUGAGAAAAAGGAGUCUCACAUGGAAAGCACAGGAGUGCUUCAAGCUUCAAGACUCAAUCUGAAACAGUUAUCUUGGGUACCCAUGAGCACCCAAUUCAUUCGUAACAGCACCCAGAUCCCACUAAAAUCAGCGCAAACUCUUUCA